ACGAACGGCUGGCGGCGUGCCUAAUACAUGCAAGUCGAACGGUCUUUCUAUGGAAGCUUGCUUCACUGAGAAGAUAGUGGCGAACGGGUGAGUAACACGUGGGUAACCUGCCCAUAAGAGGGGGAUAACAUCCGGAAACGGGUGCUAAUACCGCAUAGUUUUCUUGAUUGCAUGAUUGAGAAAGGAAAGACGGCCUUUGUGCUGUCGCUUAUGGAUGGACCCGCGGCGUAUUAGUUAGUUGGUGAGGUAACGGCUCACCAAGACGAUGAUACGUAGCCGACCUGAGAGGGUGAUCGGCCACAUUGGGACUGAGACACGGCCCAAACUCCUACGGGAGGCAGCAGUAGGGAAUCUUCCGCAAUGGACGAAAGUCUGACGGAGCAACGCCGCGUGAGUGAAGAAAAGGUUUUCGGAUCGUAAAACUCUGUUGUCAGAGAAGAACAAGUUGGAGAGUAACUGCUCCAGCCUUGACGGUAUCUGACCAGAAAGCCACGGCUAACUACGUGCCAGCCGCUGC
RNAcentral lists this ribosomal RNA (517 nucleotides) under uncultured bacterium. Its description in RNAcentral is "bacterial SSU rRNA". It matches the Rfam family "Bacterial small subunit ribosomal RNA", at positions 35 to 518 of the family's 1533-position model. The record is from RNAcentral.